GACGAACGCUGGCGGCGUGCUUAACACAUGCAAGUCGAACGGAAAGGCCCUGCUUUUGUGGGGUGCUCGAGUGGCGAACGGGUGAGUAACACGUGAGUAACCUGCCCUUGACUUUGGGAUAACUUCAGGAAACUGGGGCUAAUACCGGAUAGGAGCUCCUGCUGCAUGGUGGGGGUUGGAAAGUUUCGGCGGUUGGGGAUGGACUCGCGGCUUAUCAGCUUGUUGGUGGGGUAGUGGCUUACCAAGGCUUUGACGGGUAGCCGGCCUGAGAGGGUGACCGGCCACAUUGGGACUGAGAUACGGCCCAGACUCCUACGGGAGGCAGCAGUGGGGAAUAUUGCACAAUGGGCGGAAGCCUGAUGCAGCAACGCCGCGUGCGGGAUGACGGCCUUCGGGUUGUAAACCGCUUUCGCCUGUGACGAAGCGUGAGUGACGGUAAUGGGUAAAGAAGCACCGGCUAACUACGUGCCAGCAGCCGCGGUGAUACGUAGGGUGCGAGCGUUGUCCGGAUUUAUUGGGCGUAAAGGGCUCGUAGGUGGUUGAUCGCGUCGGAAGUGUAAUCUUGGGGCUUAACCCUGAGCGUGCUUUCGAUACGGGUUGACUUGAGGAAGGUAGGGGAGAAUGGAAUUCCUGGUGGAGCGGUGGAAUGCGCAGAUAUCAGGAGGAACACCAGUGGCGAAGGCGGUUCUCUGGGCCUUUCCUGACGCUGAGGAGCGAAAGCGUGGGGAGCGAACAGGCUUAGAUACCCUGGUAGUCCACGCUGUAAACGGUGGGUACUAGGUGUGGGGUCCAUUCCACGGGUUCCGUGCCGUAGCUAACGCUUUAAGUACCCCGCCUGGGGAGUACGGCCGCAAGGCUAAAACUCAAAGGAAUUGACGGGGCCCCGCACAAGCGGCGGAGCAUGCGGAUUAAUUCGAUGCAACGCGUAGAACCUUACCUGGGUUUGACAUGGAUCGGGAGUGCUCAGAGAUGGGUGUUCCUCUUUUGGGGUCGGUUCACAGGUGGUGCAUGGCUGUCGUCAGCUCGUGUCGUGAGAUGUUGGGUUAAGUCCCGCAACGAGCGCAACCCUUGUUCACUGUUGCCAGCACGUUAUGGUGGGGACUCAGUGGAGACCGCCGGGGUCAACUCGGAGGAAGGUGGGGAUGACGUCAAGUCAUCAUGCCCCUUAUGUCCAGGGCUUCACGCAUGCUACAAUGGCUGGUACAGAGAGUGGCGAGCCUGUGAGGGUGAGCGAAUCUCGGAAAGCCGGUCUCAGUUCGGAUUGGGGUCUGCAACUCGACCUCAUGAAGUCGGAGUCGCUAGUAAUCGCAGAUCAGCAACGCUGCGGUGAAUACGUUCCCGGG
Molecule: ribosomal RNA, 1343 nt
Filed under: uncultured bacterium
Lineage: Bacteria
Description: 16S ribosomal RNA
Rfam family: Bacterial small subunit ribosomal RNA
Source: RNAcentral